This is a non-coding RNA of Populus trichocarpa (black cottonwood), 91 nucleotides long. Lineage: Eukaryota; Viridiplantae; Streptophyta; Magnoliopsida; Malpighiales; Salicaceae. The record is from Rfam.
CCGACCUUAGCUCAGUUGGUAGAGCGGAGGACUGUAGUGGUGAUGCCAGCAGCCAAUCCUUAGGUCGCUGGUUCGAAUCCGGCAGGUCGGA